GUGAAGUGAAUCACAAUCAAACAAACUUAUACCCCUUUGUUUGACCGUGAAAAAUUUCUCCCAUCCCCUUUGUUGUCUUUAUGACAAAGAAAAAGGACUCGGCUAAAUGCCGGGUCCUUUUU
This is a non-coding RNA of Anoxybacillus sp. BCO1, 122 nucleotides long. The record is from Rfam. NCBI's taxonomy places the organism in Bacteria, Bacillati, Bacillota, Bacilli, Caryophanales, Anoxybacillaceae.